GGGCACUGGGGAUUGAACCCAGGGCCUCCACACUGAGCUGCGUCCCCAGGCGUUUUUAUUUCUUAUCUUGAGACAGAAUCUGUCCAAUUUGCCCAGGUGGGCUCGAACUGGAGACCCUCCUGCCUCAGCCUCAGAGCGCAGGGCUGACAGGGAUGCACCUGUUUGCCUGCUUCGAGCGGGCGGCGCAUAAUAGCCAGGACCCAGAGGCUUGGUUAGUCCGGCCAUUGCUGCUCUGACAGGGCUCUAAGAGGAACCAUAACAUGCCCUUCAAGUGCAGAACAAGCUUAGUACCUGUGAAAAGCAGCCUGGGACCCCAGCCACUGAGGAGGCUGAGGCAGGAGGAUCUUGGGUUGCAGGCCAGCCUGGGCAACUCAAUGAGACCGCAAGGAAAAGAGUAAGAAGUAAAAAACCCAAACUACAAAGGCUGAGAGCUGCGCCACGUAGUGGUGCCCCACAGCCCCAAGCAGGCGAGCACACAGGGCCGCGCUGCGCAGGCGCUGCGAGCUGUGGUUCAGUCACGCACAAGGACGACGCAGAGGCGGGAGGGCUCCUGCCGGGACCAGGCCCCGGAAGCCGCUGGCCAGAGCGGAAGACUGCGUCUGCUCGGAAGUGGGAGGCUGGCUGCGGUCCCGUGCUGUUCGGGGCUGGACAGGGCCUCUUCCUCCAGCGGGCUCCGGGCUUCCUUUGCCCCCCCCCCUUCCCGCCUUCGAUGAGCGCCUGUGCUGCUCACGCGCCGGCCCCUCUUCCCUGGUUUCACCUCGACCCCUGGCCGGCAGAAUGGCGGCUCCCUGAAGAUGCCACCGCCCAGGCCCCAGGACCGCGAUGGCAGGCAGGGGGCAAGGCUCCAGCUGGGGUGCACAGUGUCGGCCAGCCAGCUCCCUCGGGCUGGGCACAGGCCCGGGCUCUCUGAGCUCCCGAGGGCGGCCAGGGUCCCUGACGGCCUUGGAUGGGGAGUCAUGAACCAGAGCUGCUGGCCUCUCAGGGCUGGAAAAGACACUGAAGGUGUUCGGGCCUGCAGCUGCCAGGAGGAAGCAGCCCUGCCCCUGCCCCUGUUUUAUCUCAGACUUGGUAUAGAAAACCGUAGAGUAAUGAAUUUUAGCUGAGUCCACACUCAGCUGGUGCAUGCCUCUUAUCACAGCACUCUGGGAGGCUGAGGCAGGAGGAUCACAAAUUUGAGCUGAGCCUGAGCAACUUAGUGGCUUGGCAAGGCUCUGUCUCAAAAUAAUAAGGGCUGACAUUGUAGCUCAGUGCAAAAGUCCUGGGUUCAAUCCCUACUACUUAAAAAAAAACAACCCAUGAAUAAAAAAAAACAACCCAUGAAUACAUGAAAUACUAAAUUCAUGUUGUCUUAAGUCACUAAAUUUGUGGGAACGUGUUACAGUUUGUGUGCAGGAAGUUCACACAAUUCCUCAGGGGCCUUUUAAGUCAGGACUUUAUAACCUCACGAUGUCACAGAACUCAAUUCCCAAUGCAGACACUGCAACAGCCUCCAGCAGCAAAUCACAGCAUUAUGUGACAUUCAAACAACUUGAGUUUUAUUGUCGUUUUCCUUUUUUGGUGAGGCCUAUGAAGUGCGUAGUCCAGUAUGUGAUGUUCAGCAUAAGUGUUGCUCAGUGAGUUUGCAGAGAGGUUUGUCUGCUUGGCAUGAGGACCACGGUGAGGGUCCUCACACCCUCUCCUGCCCCGGCCCAGUGUAGCAGUGCCCAGGCUCCCAGCGACAGUGGUCCAGUCUCUGUCAGUGAGGCCACUCGCAUUGCUGGGUCGCGUCUGUUCCUACCCAGCCACCUAUCCACGUGAUUAACACGUGUGUGUCCGUGUGUGCACACAUGCAUGCAGGCGGCCUUCUGUACUCUCAAGUAUACAGAUCCAACCCCCUGUGGAUGGAAAAUACCUGGAAAAACUUGCACCUCUACUGAACACACAUGGACUUUUCUUGUUAAGUCAUUGGAUGGGGCCUGAGGAGCCCCCCAAAGAGGAGAUGGGACUUCGAGUCACCCUGUUGAGGAGACUCUUGACUCCCUGCAUGGGAGAAGGAUCUCAGGGUGCAGCAGUGUGAGGCGCAGGAAGAUUCAAGGGAGGGAGAAUAAGGAAAGGACAUGGCCAAGCAGCUGCUGGGGUGCAGGGUCAGACUGGCCCCUUGAAGAGCAGGACGUGGCCUUCGAGGGUGCGCUGAGGUUCAGGGCUGGUGGGCCAUGGGCUCAGCUAUGGCUCCAGCCCUGGAGCUCCUCAGGUUUGAGGCAGUCGGUUCCCAUGAGAGGAUGUCGGGCUCUGUCCCAUCUGGGUGACCACUCCUGCUGGGGGAGGCGAUCUCAUUACGGGUGGUCUGCAGGGCUCUGUGGUGACCUGAUUAUGGGUUGGAGACUUCUCGGCACCUGCCCAGGGGGUCUGGAGCCAAUGCUGAAAAUUACUUCCAUUACUCUUGCCUUGGUGUCUCCAGUCUUGUGUGUGUGUGUGUGUGUGUGUGUGUGUGUGUGUGUGUGUGUGUAGUAUUCCAGGUAAAUUUAGGGCCAGUAAACCUUUCGAUACAGACACUCCCUAAGUGAUUAGGAUUCCUACACAGAGCUGAUCGGGGGUCUGACCAGAGUGCUGAGGAGACAAGAAAGACAAAAAAGUUCCUUCCUUUCUACCCAUCUUCAUUUCUCCUGUGCUACCUGAAUUAUUUCCUAAACAAUGCAGCAUAACAACUAUUUAUAGAGCAUUUACAUUGUAUUAAACAUUAUAUUACCUAGAGAUAAUGCAUAGUACACGGAGAGUGUGCACGGCUGCAUGAGAAUAUUGUAUCAUUUUACAGAACAGAUCCCAGAAUCCAUGGAUUUUGAUAUAUGUAGGGAUCUGUGCCCAGUGCUAUAGGAAUACCGAGCAACCAUGGGCGUGCAUGUGGGUGUGAGUGUGUAGUUUUUAUAUGUGGCUGUGUAGUUUGCCUGGUGCGUAAAGGUUUAUGUGCAUUUCAGGUCCACUCACAUGUGCACCGUUUUCGUUGUGCCCAGUGUGUGGAGGAGCCGUAACUAUGGCAUUUGCCUCUGGUUGGUAGACACCCCGGGUGGUGAUGUUUUUCUGAUGCAUAUGAGUGGCUUUGACUGAGAAUAUGAGCAGCUUUGUUUUGGGGAAGACAGAGGAUACCAGGCUCCACCAAGCAGGCUCUGCGAGGUCCUGGGUUUCCCUUUCUUGGGGCCUCAUCAGAAUUUGUUAUAGUUUGAUUUCUCGAUGAUGGCCGUUCUUUCUGGAGUGAGGUAAUCUCAGUGUUGGUUCCGUGUGCGUUUGCCUAGUGCUCAGUGCUGUUGAGCAUGUUCUCCCGUGUUUAUUGCCCGUGUGCCCGUCGUCCCUUCAUUGCAGUCACCCAUUCUUUAAAGUUAGGUCUUGUGCUUUGAGAAUCUCAGUUUUUUGAGUUCUGUGUACAUUUUAGACGCUGGUCCUCGGUUUGGGAGGAGCUGAGUAAAGUUUCCCCAUGCUGUGGGCUGUCUCUCCACUCUGGGUGAUUUCCUUUGCUGUGCAGUGGCUCUUUGCUUAGUCUCGCUGUUAUUUUUGUGCAGCUGAAGCUCUGUUGGGAAGCCCUUGCCCGCACCCGUGUCUCAGGGUUUGCCCGCUUUGUCUUCCAGCAGGCUGAACGUGUGCAUGCCCAGUUGUGGCACUCUGUUCCUCUUUCCCCUUUAUUUUCUCAUCCCGCUCGGGGUGCUGUGUGCCUCCUUCCCUUCCCUCCCUCUCUUGUCCCCUGCAAUGCAAACUCUCCAAGGUCUGGGACUCCGUUUUGAUCACUGCACUGUUUUUCACACUCAGCACAGCAUCUGAGACUCUUCCCAUUCCCUGCACCUUGUCACUGUUUGUUGAAUGACUGUCAGUCCUCAGGUUCUGACUUCUGCGCCUGGGAGCCACAGGACCUUGGAGCAGGAGCAGGAGCAGGAGGAGGAGCCAUCUCCACAGCCCCACAGCCUCCCAGGAGAUGCAGAGCCUCAGGCCUGAGCAGAUGCAGGGGCUGCUGGAGCCAGAGAGGGUGAAGAUGCUGCUGCCUCGGGAGAGCCGGGCCUGGGAGAAGCCAUCCCAAGUCACCAAGGACUGGGUGGCGGUGGAGCUGGGGGCCUGCAGCUGUGACGGUGAAGGGAGAGACCUGUCUUCUCCAGAGUCUGGGUUUUCCCAGGAGUGGAGCUUGGUGGAGGAAGAUGAAGAGUCAGAGGAUGCCCAGGUAUGUUGGGGUUUCUCCUCCUCCUCAGAUGUCUCACCUGGAAGAUCUCGGGGAUUGUCACAGAUCCUCAGCCUGGAGUUCUCUGCCCUGUGGAAAUUCCAAGAGGUAUCUUGUGGGAAGCAGGACGUGUUCCUGCAGUGGCCACACAGAGCGGAGGGUCUCCAUGUAGUGUGUGUUUAACUCACACACCUUACUUGUAAAUCCAUCCAUCCAUCCACCCACUCUCUCACCACCUACCCACCCAUCAAUUCACCCGUCUACCCCUUGAACAUCCAUCAACCACUCAUCUGUCCACUCACUGUUCUAGCGAUCCUCAAUCCCUGUGCACCCAUAUUUCUAUUCCGUCUGUUCAGCCAUUGGUAUACAUUACCAUCUAGUCUUACCCAUGCAGUAUCAACCUGUCUCACCUACCCCCACAUAGUCAUCCAUCUGUCUACUCAUCUGUCAGACCCACCAAUUCAUCUGUUUUCUGUCUGUUGACCAUGGUGAAGAUGUGGCUACUUUUCAUCCCCCUUAUGCUUACUCAUUCAUUUAUCCCUAUCUGUCCCAUCCAUCCAUCCAUCCACCCAUUGAUCAGUCCAUCUACCAAGCUACCUACUGAUUUGCCCGUCCAUACACCAUUCAUUCAUUCAUUCAUGCAUCCACUUACCCAUUCAAUCCAUGUAUCCAUCCAUCCAUCACUAAUCAUCUCGUGGGCCUAAUCCAAAUACUAUAAACAAACAAAACAGAAUUAUCUAUCACAUAUAGUUCACCCAGAGACAUCAGUAUAAGAGAUAACAGCAGUGAUUAUUUUAUUUAUCCAUUUAUCCGAUACAUCAGAAAACGCAUGUAACUACUGCCAGCAGCACACGAGGGCUCCAUCCCUCUCUGGGUCCUAUGUGGGACACCCACGAUGGUUAGCCUAGCCCAGGACAUGAGCUUCCCGCUCUACAGGGAGGGAAAGGGGACAAACUGGACAACAGACCACCGUGGAGCAGGAACAAGUGCUGGCCCAGUGAGAGGGCUUGAAGGAGCAAACUCUGCAUGCUGCAGCUUUGUUCCUGAACACAGAAAGGAGGAGACACCAGGCCCAGGGUUUUAGGGACCAGCGUGUUUUCCUCCCACCAGGCUGAGGGAAGAGCCUGUGGCCAGGAGAGGAGAAUGCUGCAGCAGGGCCUAUCUGGGGGACUUGGGUGUGGAACGCAGAGUGGAGGGAGCUGCAGACAACAACCUGGCUGGGAUGAGUUGUUCCUCCACUUCCUAACUACUUCCCCAGCGCUGGCUGUGUGCAGGGAGGUGGUCAGCACGCAGAGGGCACAGCAGUGAAUGGGUCGGAAACGAUGCUUGCCUCCAGCAGGGUUUCGGCUGCCCAGGUGGAUGGAUGGGGAGCAGAGGAAGCAGCUUGGGUGUUGGCUGGAGUGAGUGCUCGGUGAGGUGUGAAGUCAGAAGCCAGCGCGGGAGGCGUUGAGGGCGAGGGAAGCUGUCCCCGGAGUCCUUGACGGGAAAGGCUGAAGGAGUCAGGGAGUGAGACAGGCAGAUGUGGGGGUGCCGUGGGUGCCGAGGCCCGAGGCAGGGGGGCCCUGGCCCGGCUGAGGAGCGUCCCGUCCCGGUGGCCGAUGUGGCCGGGCUGGGCUCCGUGAGUCUGCAGCGGAGUGCGGGGCCGCGCACUCCUGACGCCCUUGCUAGCCCAGCUUUCCCUGGGCCUGUGCUCGCGGUCAGUGCAGGCUCUCUCUUCACAGGUGAGGAGAUGGAGGCAGAGAGGGGCUGGAAGGCUCCUGCUGGCCCCACAAGGAGCAGGUGGCGGCGUCAGAGGGAGGCCGAGGCCUUGGGUGGAGGGGACGGGGGCGCGGAGCGUGGGCCCCAGGCCUUCCUGACUUCGGGGUGUCCCAGGGCAAGGCCAGGGAGGACAGGGGAGAGGCAGCAUCCAGCCUGGGAGCAGGACACUCAGUUAACUUCCUGUGGCGACCAUGGAGCAGCACAGGCCGUGCGGUUCGUGAGGAAAGGUUCGCUCAGCUGGCGGAAGUGGAGCUGGAAGUCCCAUGUGAAGAAGCCUCCUCCCCAGGAGCGGGGAGCAGAGCUCGGCCCCUUCACCGUGCAGAACAGCAGGGCCUGUGACCCUCGUCUGUCCCACCCCGCGGGCCUUGCCGUGUCUUAGCGCGGCAGACGGGGUCACCCGGAGAAACAGAGCAUGGUGCUGGCUCCAGUUUCGGUCUCCUCCCUGCGACACCAUCUCGGGCCCCACCAUCAGGACCUCGUGGCCCAGGGCCCCACCUCCUGAUCCAUCAGCGUAUGAAUUUGGGGAUGAAGUUUCCAACAGCAGCAUUCGGAGAACACCUUCAAGCCGUGGCCCAUGGUCCACUCUGCCAUUCGCUCAUCUGUGGCCCAUGGACCCCUUUCUGGGUCCCCCCUAGGAGAGAGAGAGGGACAGGUGCCCAGGACCAGCGGCCUUUGAUGGCACUCGCUGCCAGGCCAGGCAGCCCUCGCUGUGACUCUACCUACCCUAAUUUACUUAACCCUCGUAUCAGACCUCGAGGAAGACCUACGCCCAGUGUACAGAUGGGCAAGUGAAGGCACAGCGAGGUAGUGACUUCCUCCCUGUCAGCACGUGAGCGGCAGAGCUGCAGUUGGAAGCCAGUGUGCAGCGAUCCACUGGGCGCACUCGCCCACCUCGGUCCUCCCCAGGAGGGCGGUGGACAGUGCCUCCCCCUGCUGCCCUGCUCGUGUGUCACAUGACCCUUGUGGAGAGAAGGGGGCGGCUUUCCGGGGGCUCCCAAGGCCCACUCUGGGCACCCAGAAGACAGCAGGGAGGAGAAGGGCCCGUCCCCGUCCUGUGAGGCGCAAGCGUGUGCGAUGCCCGAAGCUCGCAUGCGAAUGCGUGAGGCCAAAGGAGAACCCAAGGCCCAGAAACGACCCAGUGGCGCCGCUGCAGCUGCUGCAGCGGGCAGUGGUCCUGCAGCCCAGGCCAGGCAUGGCUUUCUCGGAGGGGAGUAAACCAGGGAGGGAGCAUGGUGGAUGCGGGGACUUAGCAUGAUCAGCCUUUUGGGGGAGUGGUACCGGGGAUUGAACCCAGGCCUUCGCCCUGAGCUACGUCCCAGCUCUUUGGGGACAGGGCCUUGCUAAGUCGCUACCUUUCCCAGGCUGGGCUUGAACUUAUGGUCCUCCUGCCUCAGCCUCUUGGAAGACUGGGGAACAGGAGUGUGCCUCCAUGCCCUGCUGAUGAGCUGCUUCCUGUUCCGUGUGCUCCCCCUGGGCAGUGUUCGCCUCGGGAGACGCCUCAGGCUGUGUCAGGGCCCCUGCCCGUCCAGAGGGUGGCUCAGGGCCCCCAGAGAGGGGCUGAAACCUGGUGAUAUCAGCCCUGUACCCACUGUGUGUUUCCUAUGCAUGCACACCCAGGGUGACAUUUAAUUUGUAAAUCAGGCAGGGUACAGUGCAGGAAUAACUCAUAGCGACCUAGCACCCUUGACCUAUAAUAAGAGCUAUGUGCAUAUGCAGAUGAAGUCCAGCCCCUGCCUGCUCCCAAGGGGAGCUCUAGGGCGUGGACAGUGUGGGGCAUUGUCCUCUCUGGGCCAGCGUCCGUGACACCCCCUGGUUCCUUCCCUGGGCCCUGGCUGCCCGGAGGACGAUGUAGCCCAGGGUUCGCGGGGAGAGGGCUCCCAUCGGCACAGGGCAUUUCUCAGGAGAAGGGGCACCACGGACAGGAGCCAUGGAGCAGAAGUGAUGGCCCGGCCCCUGGGGAUCGGGAGCAGCGGGACCCAGUCAGAUACCAGUGCAGGGCACUGUCCUGGUCACUUUUCUCAUCACUGGGGUGAAGUAGGGGAACCCACAGCUGGAUGGGACAGAGGUUUAUCCUGGCUCCCGUUUUGUUUUGGAAGCUUCAGUCCUUGCAGGGUCAGCGGUGCAGCGGGAGAGCCUGGUGUGUGGGGAGCCUCAUGGCCGCCAGGAAGCUGGAGUGGAAGGAGGAUCCCGGGAGGGAGCUGCAGCCCUGCAGCUCAUGGCCAGGCCCCGCGGUCCAGUGAGUGCACGAGGCUCCCGGGCGACAUCUGGACCUAAACCAUCACCCAAAUGCAGAAUGUUUGUAUUUCGGGUGACUUGUGCUUAUUACAUUUUCUUAAUUUCAUAUUCUGCCUUCUGAAAUGAUAGAGUAGUGAUUUCUAAGAAAACACAGAUCAGAGUAACACACGUGCAUCGUGUGCACCCCGCACCCCGCCUGAGGCCCGAGCGCCCACGUCCUCCUCCUCCUUUCCGGCCUGUCUCCCCUCUGGAGGCAGCCACGGCCCUUGAUUCCUGCUCACACAGACGAGCUUUGGUUUCAUCAGACUCCAGCUGAAGAGUUGUCCAGCAGACUGCACAUACCGGGAAGAGGAGGUGGGAUCAGGAGUCUUGUUCUGCAUUUGGUGUCUUCCCGGUAUAUUCUGGAUGGCUUUCGUGGCAUGCCUUGAUCAUCUCCACUCUUUCAAGUUUACUUCAGGCCAGAGAGGAGUGAGGCACAGAGGGGUGGUGGUAGCAGAGGGGAGGGAAGCGGUCGGCUUCCUGAGGUGUUCUGAAGGCAAAGUCAGCAGCCUUCGCCAUGGCUGGGAAGACUGGGGUGUGGGAGAGGAGGGUCCAGGAUGCCACAGAGGAGGCCCGGAGAGGCCUGCAGGAGUAAUGUGGGACUCACACGGGCGAGGACCUGGGUUUGAGGGCCGGGGAGAUGCGAGGAUGUUUGUGUGGCACGUGUAAACUUUGGUGCCCCCGUUGCAUAUCCAAAGGGAGGUGGUGAGCAGACAGUGAGAAAUGCAGUUGGGAAGUCAAGACGGGAGUUGGGUCAAAGAAUACAACUCACACGCAAAUGUCUUUUGAUGGGGCGUUUGCAUAAAAAGGCUAUUUUAGAACUGCAGGACUUUAUACACCAAUGGCGUUUUCAUCCCAUUUUUUCCCCCUGAAAUUUCCUCCCAUAGAGCAUAAGUAUGUUACUUACUCUUGUGUGAUUAUCUUACCUCUAGCCACUCUGUCAUACAGCUUUAAAUUUAAAUAACUUCUCUGUUAAUAUGUUGUUUUAUUUCUAAUCGUAUAAUCCUAUUUUCCUAUAAGUAAGGCUGGUGUUCCCUUUCUUUCCAGUAUUUAUACUUUCUUCUCUUCUGUUUCAGGGCUUGGUGGAGUGGUCAAAAGCUCCACAACAAACGACCAUAGUGUUGAUAGUGUGUGUGCUGUUCUUGUUCCUGGUUUUGACGGGGAUGCCUAUGAUGUUUCACGUUUGAUUAUCCCAGUGACCUUUGUUUUCAGAUAGAUCCCCUGUGUCAUCUUGAGGACGUGUCCUGGUUAAAAAUCAGGGAUGAGUUUUGAAUAUUUUCAAAUGCCUUUCAAAUAUCCACAAAGAUGAUUUUUUUUUUUAAAAAAAAACCUUUUAGUAUGAAGUUUUACAUUACUGUAUUUCAUUAAAAUUAAGACAUCAUUAAUUGCAGAGCACAUAUUAUUUUAUAUACCAUUGAGAAAGAAAAAUGCUUGUUUUAAUUGUAAAAUGCCACCUCCUAACUUCAGAGAAGGUGAAAAAAUGUCCAAUUUAGAAUGAGUGAGAUUUAAUAGAUUUCUUAUCGAACCAUUUUUGCAUUCCACGGAUUGUGGUCCACUCUCUUUUCAUGUACUGAGUUAUUUUUUCUUGAUGUUCAUGUGAGAUUCUUGCCUCCAUCUUCAUAUGUGAGUUGGGUGCUAUCUUGGUGAAGCUGGGUGUGAUGGAGGAGCCUGCCUCAUAGGAACAGCUGAGCAGCUCUUACCCUUCUCUGUGGUUCUGAAUCACAGCUGUAGCUUGAGGAUUAUCUAGCCCUCGCCAUCUUAAAGGAUCCACCAAUAAAAUGAUCAGACCCUAGAGUCAUGGAGGGGACAUUUCAGCCAAUUCUUGGGCAGCUCUCUCAGUUCUCCCCAUGCCAUCAGUCUGUUGACACUUCUCACUUCAUGGACUCAUUUUGAUGACUUAUGAUGUUCUUUUUCCCCUAGAGAAUUCUUAAUUCCAUGGAGUUUUUCAGAUUAUUAUCCUAUGGUGCGCACUAUUUUAUAACUAAACACAAACCUUUCCUUUGUCCUCUUCUGUGUCCAUUCUCAACUUCUUUGUGUGAGUUACCCAUUAUUUGACUUGUCAACGAAUUAUAUAAUGUUUUGUCAAAGAGCCAGUGUUAGGAUCUAUUUAUAUCCAUUAUUUUUCUUAAUUAUAAUAGCUUUUCCUUAAUAUCUAUUGUCUAUUUUUAUUGUUUUUAUGAUUUGUCUCAAUUUUUAAGUUGAGUGUUUAUAUAGUUUUUAUAUUUGCAAUAAUAGCAUAUUUAAUAUAAAGGUAUUUCUGGAUAUAUCUCUGGCCACAUCUUACAGGUUAACAAUUUACAUUCCUUUGUUGUUUUUUGUAAUGUUCUUAGAGAGUGCUUUAAAACUCAGUAAUUUUGCUCAUUAUUUUGUUUAAAAAGUUUUGUUUUCUUGUUUUACUGCACUGUGAACAGAGAAUGUGGCCUAUAAUAUAUCUGUUUUCAAAAUAUUUUAAAAAGCUUUUACUGUGGCCUGGAAAAUAUCAAAUUUUUGUUGCUGUUUCAUGGACAUCUAAGAUGAAUAUGUAUUCUGUGUAGAAAACUAUGUGUCUUUUCAUUAACUCAGUCUUAUCAAUUAUAUUGUUCAGAUUCAUAUGUUAUAUAAUGUUGGCUUACUGUAUCUUUCAAAAACCAAUAAGGUUAUAUGAAAAUGUUAGUAUGAUUGGUUUAGCAAUAUAUUUUUAUAGUAUUUGUGGUAUGUAUUCAACAGCUGUGUAAUUUGAUGCAAAUAAGUCCAGCAUUGUUAUGUCGUUGCCUAUUAAAUAAUCUAUAAAAAACAACAAGCACAGUCCCUGUCCUGUAGUAGGCACUUAAUAAAUGUUAGUUAAAGCCGACUCUG
Non-coding RNA from Heterocephalus glaber (naked mole-rat), 11041 nucleotides. Lineage: Eukaryota; Metazoa; Chordata; Mammalia; Rodentia; Bathyergidae. The record is from RefSeq and is a predicted model, not a curated record.